UUGAAACUUUGCAUCAGCUUAAUCACUUGCAGAUUUGGCACAUCAAUCUCUGGGUGAUUAGCCAAAUUGAAAUCCUUCUUUGCAUACAAAACUUCCUCUUGGAAAAGGUGUUUGCAGAUCUCUCUACGGUUUUUCUCAGUAAUGAUCAUGAUUGCAAUGUAGAGACAGCACAUCAGAAACUUCAGAGGCGAACAAACACUCCUUUCUAAUCCCUUCACGCUGCCAGAGAUUUCAUGAAAUUAAAGAUGAGGGAGAACAAGUAUUUGUGUUGAUACGGAGAAUCUGAUCGACCGGCAUCAACUGUCAAUCCAUUUCUCAGCAACUUAGAAAACUUGUGAGUAAAAAUUGAAUCUAAACCAUGUCUUAUAUUAUUUGUUUAAACUCCUUCUCCAUUUGAUGUAGAAAAUAAUGCUUAUAAAUGUGAAGACAAUGCAUUUUCAAUGAACACAGGGUGGUUGAAUUAGCAUGAUUGGCUGCAAAUGAUCAAUAUGAAUCAGAAUAUGAAGGUCAAACUUAUACUUUUGUGUUUUAGCUUUCGUUUAAGGUAAUAUAAAAUUUAGGGUUAAUAGGUCUUUAACCCCUGUAAUAUAGGUCAUUUCCGGUUUUUUCCCCUGUAAAAUAUUUUUUUUGAUUUACCCCCUGUAAUUUUUUUUUAUAGGCCAAACAAAAACGAAAAAUUCUUGAAAAAAAAAAAUCGUAUUUGUUUGGCCUAUUAGGGGGGUAAAUCAAAACAAAAAAACAUUACAGGGGUAAAGACAUAUUAACCCUAAAAUUUACAAUAAUAUAUCUUUUCUUGGUUUGUUGAAUUUAGAAGAAUAAAGUUUGUGAUAAGAAUUAUUAGUACAACUUGUAAAAUAAAAAAAAAGAGAAGAUGUAAUUGUAUUCAAGAAAUUUGAGUACCAUGGUAGUAGUAGAGAAAUUUGUAUGGUAGUUUUAUGCUCCUUGAGAAGUUUGUCUAAAUUAUAUUGUGUAGUUGAUACUACACAGUUAUGAAACUAUGUAGACUGUUAUCAAUGUUUGAAAGGUGUCACUAAAUUUGGGCCGGUGUGAGUUGUUUUUUUUAUUAUAGUGUGAAAACUUUUAAGCUAUAUGAGACUAUUCAAAUUAGAGUACAUACUAACUUUAAUUAUCAAUUAGGAAUUAUGUUAUGUUUAAGACAGAAUCAAAUAGAAGACGUUGGGAUAGGACUUUUUAGUUAUGUAAACACUGAAGAAAUACCUUUGAGGUAGAGCUUGCCAUCAUGUGAGAGGGUAAACUUGAGGUUAUGUAUAUUUUUCUACUCAUGAUCUAAGUUUAUGGUUUCAAGUUACAAGAGAAUUUGACAUUUGGUUUCUCUUAGUUAAUGUUUUUUCCCUUGAUUAAAGUAUGAGAAAAAUAAUUAUGAAAUAUAGGAAUGAACCUUUUUAGCAUAAAAUUCAGACUUUAUAGUUUUGUUUACAUCUUCUUGCUGAUAAAGAUCAUAGUGAGGAAUUAAUUUUGUACAUGAAUGUUGGAAGUGAAAAAAAAAGAUAUUCUAAUAUAGAUUUUGGAAGGCUUUUCAAUAUAGUUUAGGAACUAGGUUAGAUCUUAGCACAACCUCUCAUCCACAAACCACUACUAGAAAAAGCAAAAUUAGCAAGGGAAAUUAGUGAUGGAAAAAAUGAAAUUCCUCACAAAUUCUUUGAUCGCAAAAUUUAGUGACGGAAUUAGAGAGCGAUUUUACGUUUUCCCUCACUAAAUUUCCCUCACUAAUUUUUGUUUUUUUAGUAGUGAACCGACGGAUAAAUAGAGCAAACUAUUCAAAUUCUGGAAGAUAUAUUGAGAGCUUGUGUAAUGGAUUUCGGAGGUAGUUGGGAUAAACAUCUUCCCUUGGUAUAGUUUGCUUAUAAUAAUAGCUAUCAAGCAAGUAUUCAGAUGGUACCCUUUUCAGCACUUUAUGGAAGACAAUGUAGAUCGCUGAUUGGUUGGUUCGAAUUAUGUUAGGCGAAGUUAGAAAAGGCGACGAUGAUUCGAGAUAGGUUAUUGGUCGCUCAGAGUAGACAAAAAUCAUAUGUUGAUCGACGUCGCCAAGAGUUAGAGUUAAUGGUAGGGCAACUUUGGCUAAAGAUUUAUUUUAUGAAUAAGAGCCUUUGGUUAUUGUUGAUCGGCAAGUCAAGAAAUUUCGAAAUAAGGAAAUUGGAAAUUAGAGGACGCAAUGCGAGAUAAAUAUCCACACUUGUUUGAAACUCAAGGUAUCACGUUUAAAUUCGGGGACCCUAUUAUAGUUUUGUAUAAUUAUUAGUACUCGAGUUAAACUCUAGGAGUUGGUGUUAUACAUUUAUUUGAUAAAUUGUCAAUUUUAUAUGGAAAUAAUUUUCUUUGUUUUUAAUAUUAAUGUGUCUUGUUGGUUAUAUUUCUCAUUAUUAUCUCACUUGUGACUCACAUUGUCUCUCUAUUAUAUUUCAGAUGAUUAGCUUUGUAUCAGUUGAAUGUAUCCUCUAUGUAUCGAUCGUAGGGGUUUCAUGAGGCUCUUAUGUAUAAAAAAAAGUGUUAACAUUGAUAUUGAGUGUAAUAAUUUUCCUGGCAUUCAUGUAUAGUAAUUUCCUUUGCCUCUAGUGUAUACUUGUAGUUCUUAUGUAAGACAUGUUUGUCUCAUAUGUUUCUAAUUUGUAAUGAAAAAUAUUAAAA
This 2646-nucleotide long non-coding RNA is filed under the name Medicago truncatula (barrel medic). RNAcentral describes it as "lncRNA gene2978". The record is from RNAcentral. Lineage: Eukaryota; Viridiplantae; Streptophyta; Magnoliopsida; Fabales; Fabaceae.